GCAUCUGUUCCUCAUUCCUGCAUCCAAACAUUUUCUCCAGGUUGGCUGUCAGUCCGGCAUUGUGCUGCAGGGGUCUCAGCUGGAGCAGAAUUGCCCUCACAUGAGCAUGAGCAUUCGGACAGGUCUGGACUUGUCCCUCUGACAAGGAGGAAGCGGUGGCAGGAAGCCUGUGGGCCCACCUGGGAGAGAGGGUGGCAGGGUCGAGAGUCGAUUGGCACAGGGCAGCCAGCGUGUGACUGUGGGCACCAGCAGGAGACAGCGCCAGCUGUGGCAUCUGCAGUAGCCGCCACCUCGACUGCCAGCCCUGCCGCUUCAGCAGCAGGCACCUCCGUGUCCUUGGAAGGGAUAACCAGCCUCUCCACCUGGACAGUGGGCCUUAAGCGAGCCUUCCCUUCUUGCAGCCAACUGAGGCAGCCGGCACCCUUGCUUGCCAGAUACCCUGAAGCGUUCUGGAAAAAGUCAGGGAAGACCCACAAGCAUGGGUCACUGUCAAGCCAGAGAAAUUCCUCUGACUUUAGUUUUUCUUUUUUGCCCAGGUUGAUGUGGCUUAGGGCACAUGGCUUAUCCACAGUAUAAUCAUGAGAACCAAUAUUUACUAAGUCCUCACUCUGGGCCAGGAAUUCUUCUAAGCAUUUACCAACUCACUUAGACUUGCAAGAGCCUGUGAAACAGAUGUCAUUCUUAUCUCCAUUUGACACAGGAGGUAAGAAUAUUCUCAAGGUUGUAUAGCUAGAAAGUGGCAGUGGCCAGGGUGCGGUGGCUGACGCCUGUAAUCUCAGCACUUUGGGAGGCCAAGGCAAGUGGAUUUCUUGAGCCCGGGAGUUUGGGACCAGCCUGGGCAACGUAGUAAGACCUCAUCUCUACAAAAAUUUAAAAAUAAAUAAAUAAAAAGUAAAAAUACAGCUAGAAAGUGGCAAAGCUAUGGUCUCAAAUCAGACAGUUUGAACCCAGAGCCCAUGUGCUGGCCUCUCAGACUGGGAUCUACUCAGUCACUGGACAACAACAAAUCUCCAGUCUUCAUCAGAUUAUCUGAUUUUUUCCAAAUUGCUUAGGAAUUCUUUAAACAUCAAAAAUUCAUUAUAUAACCAUUAUGUAAAUAACAUCAUUAAAAGCAUGUUCAAAUGAGAAAAAGAAGUCACUACUAAACUUACCACCCCAAAGCAACUGAUUUUAUAUAUGCAUGCUUUUUUGAUCCUUGCACUCACAUGUUCUAUAUAGUGAAAUAUAAUUCUGUAUUAUGAUUAUUUCCUGAUGUUAUAACAUUGUAUUAUAAGUGUAUUUUCAUAAGGUUAUUUUCUGACAUUUUAAUUGCUGGGUAGCAUUCCUUCAAGUUGAUGUACCAUAAUUGACUUAGCUACUUCCCUAUGUUGAGCAUUUAGAUUGUUU
Long non-coding RNA from Pan paniscus (pygmy chimpanzee), 1386 nucleotides. NCBI's taxonomy places the organism in Eukaryota, Metazoa, Chordata, Mammalia, Primates, Hominidae. The record is from Ensembl.